Molecule: ribosomal RNA, 236 nt
Filed under: uncultured bacterium
Lineage: Bacteria
Description: partial 16S ribosomal RNA
Rfam family: Bacterial small subunit ribosomal RNA
Source: RNAcentral
AGCAACCUGGCUAUUAGAGGGGAAUAACAGUGAGAAAUCACUGCUAAUACCGCAUAUGCUCACAGUGCCACAUGGCACAGUGAGGAAAGGAGCAAUCCGCUAAUAGAUGGGCUCGCGUCUGAUUAGCUAGUUGGUGGGGUAAAGGCCUACCAAGGCGACGAUCAGUAGCCGGACUGAGAGGUUGAACGGCCACAUUGGGACUGAGAUACGGCCCAGACUCCUACGGGAGGCAGCAG